UACGAAGGGGGCUAGCGUUGUUCGGAAUUACUGGGCGUAAAGCGCGCGUAGGCGGUGAUCUAUGUCAGAGGUGAAAGCCCGGGGCUCAACUCCGGAAUUGCCUUUGAAACGGGAUCGCUAGAGUCCGAGAGAGGAUGGCGGAAUUCCUAGUGUAGAGGUGAAAUUCGUAGAUAUUAGGAAGAACACCGGUGGCGAAGGCGGCCAUCUGGCUCGAUACUGACGCUGAGGUGCGAAAGCGUGGGGAGCAAACAGG
RNAcentral lists this ribosomal RNA (253 nucleotides) under uncultured bacterium. RNAcentral describes it as "partial 16S ribosomal RNA". It matches the Rfam family "Bacterial small subunit ribosomal RNA", at positions 524 to 776 of the family's 1533-position model. The record is from RNAcentral.